UACGUAUGGUGCAAGCGUUAUCCGGAAUUACUGGGUGUAAAGGGAGCGUAGACGGUGAUGUAAGUCUGGAGUGAAAGGCGGGGGCCCAACCCCCGGACUGCUCUGGAAACUAUGUGACUGGAGUGCAGGAGAGGUGAGCGGAAUUCCUAGUGUAGCGGUGAAAUGCGUAGAUAUUAGGAGGAACACCAGUGGCGAAGGCGGCUCACUGGACUGUAACUGACGUUGAGGCUCGAAAGCGUGGGGAGCAAACAGG
This 253-nucleotide ribosomal RNA is filed under the name uncultured bacterium. RNAcentral's name for it is "partial 16S ribosomal RNA". It matches the Rfam family "Bacterial small subunit ribosomal RNA", at positions 524 to 776 of the family's 1533-position model. The record is from RNAcentral.